AUUGAACGCUGGCGGCAGGCUUAACACAUGCAAGUCGAACGAGUGGCGGACGGGUGAGUAAUGCCUGGGAAACUGGCCGAUGGAGGGGGAUAACAACUGGAAACGGUAGCUAAUACCGCAUACCAUCGGAUGUGCCCAAGUGGGAUUAGCUAGUUGGUGGGGUAAAGGCCUACCAAGCCGACGAUCCCUAGCUGGUCUUAGAGGAUGACCAGCCACACUGGAACUGAGACACGGCCCGGACUCCUACGGGAGGCAGCAGUGGGGAAUAUUGCGCAAUGGGCGCAACCCUGACACAGCCAUGCCGCUGGUGUGAAGAAGGCCUUCGGGUUGUAAAGUUCUUUCGGUGACGAGGCGUUAACCACAGAAGAAGCACCGGCUAACUCCGUGCCAGCAGCCGCGGUAAUAC
This 406-nucleotide ribosomal RNA is filed under the name uncultured bacterium. RNAcentral's name for it is "partial 16S ribosomal RNA". It matches the Rfam family "Bacterial small subunit ribosomal RNA", at positions 30 to 526 of the family's 1533-position model. The record is from RNAcentral.